AGAGUUUGAUCAUGGCUCAGGACGAACGCUGGCGGCGUGCCUAACACAUGCAAGUCGAACGGAGAUAUUAAGGAAGCUUGCGAAUUAAUAUCUUAGUGGCGGACGGGUGAGUAACGCGUGGGUAAUCUGCCCAUAAGUGGGGAACAACAGUUGGAAACGACUGCUAAUACCGCAUAAUCUGCGCAAGCAGGAAAGGUGGCCUCUGAAUAUGCUGCCGCUUAUGGAUGAGCCCGCGUCUGAUUAGCUAGUUGGUGGGGUAAAGGCCUACCAAGGCGACGAUCAGUAGCCGGCCUGAGAGGGUGAACGGCCACACUGGGACUGAGACACGGCCCAGACUCCUACGGGAGGCAGCAGUGGGGAAUAUUGCGCAAUGGGGGAAACCCUGACGCAGCGACGCCGCGUGAGCGAUGAAGGCCUUAGGGUUGUAAAGCUCUGUUUUAGGGGACGAAUGUCUAGAUCAGUAAUAUGGGUUUAGAAUGACGGUACCCUAAGAGGAAGCCCCGGCUAACUACGUGCCAGCAGCCGCGGUAAGACGUAGGGGGCAAGCGUUGUCCGGAAUUACUGGGCGUAAAGAGCACGUAGGCGGGAACUUAAGUCAGGUGUGAAAGACCGAGGCUCAACCUCGGGGUGGCACUUGAAACUGGGUUUCUUGAGGGCAGGAGAGGGCAGUAGAAUUCCUGGUGUAGCGGUGAAAUGCGUAGAAAUCAGGAGGAAUACCAGUGGCGAAGGCGACUGCCUGGACUGACCCUGACGCUGAGGUGCGAAAGCGUGGGUAGCAAACAGGAUUAGAUACCCUGGUAGUCCACGCCGUAAACGAUGGAUACUAGGU
This 829-nucleotide ribosomal RNA is filed under the name uncultured bacterium. RNAcentral's name for it is "bacterial SSU rRNA". It matches the Rfam family "Bacterial small subunit ribosomal RNA", at positions 8 to 821 of the family's 1533-position model. The record is from RNAcentral.